CCCACUGAGCCAUCUCACCAGCCCUCUACAGUUCCAUUUUUAAAAAUGCACAGAUGUGGGCUGGUGAGAUGGCUCAGUGGU
Molecule: microRNA precursor, 81 nt
Filed under: Mus musculus (house mouse)
Lineage: Eukaryota; Metazoa; Chordata; Mammalia; Rodentia; Muridae
Description: mir-3473 microRNA precursor family
Rfam family: mir-3473 microRNA precursor family
Source: Rfam by way of RNAcentral